AUGGGUGAAUGUUACUAUAGAGGUCUAUGGGACAGGUAUAUGUUACUAUAGAGGUCUAUGGGACAGGUAUUUGUUACUAUAGAGGUCUAUUGGACAGGUGAUUGUUACUAUAGAGGUCUAUUGGACAGGUGAUUGUUACUAUAGAGAAGGAGUUUGCCAUCUAAAAGAGCUGUGGGUUCUAAAUACAAGUAGUUUCUAUAACACAUCCUUAUACCAUGUCUGUCGUUUACAUAAACACCCCCCCCCCAAAGAGAGCUUUACAAUGGGAGCAAUAUAUGACAUCAUUCACCGUCUCAACUUCUUCUCCUUUCGAAGAGAUCAAAUGAAUAUGUAUUUUUUAUUUUUUAUUCCAAAUGCGGGCAUUUUGUGAAUUUCUGGUAAUUACGUAAAUGAUUUAAAAAUUUGAUUUGAUUUUUUAAAAUGUAUUUAAUUUCCCUGCCUGCCGUGAGCAAGAAAUGUGAUGUUUUUAUCAUGUGGAUUUGUGCUGUUGCUCAAAGUAAGUCUGUCCUGGUUCCUUUUGUAUAAUGGACGGAGUAGAUUUGUGUCGUGAUACACAAACAGCCUCAAAAUCUAUUGUUAAUAUAACUUGUUGUUCUUAGUCUUAAUAUUAUCGAAUGCUUUAGAUGCCAAAAUGCAUAUUUAAAAAUAAAUAAAAAUAAUAGCCUUGAAUCUAUCUAUUUAUCUAUCUAUGGUUUUCAUGAUUAUAUAAAGAGAAUGUAUAGACAAUCUGUCAUCUUUUUUUUUAAAGCUACUAAAAUCACUGAUAUUUAACAAAAUGUACUUUUAAAUCAUGAUUUCCAUAACAAUAUUGUGUUAAUUAGUGCUUCUAUUUCAUGCUGUGAUUUCAUCCUGGUCAACGUGUACCAGGUUGAACAAUAGCUGUUGUGUGUUAAGCCUUGAGGUGCAGAUCCCCUGCUAUAUGACAGGCCUACUAACACACCAACCUAGCAAGCCUGGAUCCACACAUUUACAAUGGGACUCUUUUGUUGUUGCUAGAAUUCACCACCACAGUUACUUUAUCUGUUUCUACGGGAACAUGUUUAUACCGUUUUGUUUUCUAUAAUGUAUUUGUGUUUACACUUUAGAUGGGAUUCUCUUUUUUUUUCCUGAGGAUGUGUGACGUCUGUUGCUUCUCAUUUCAUGGUGGUAUAUUACUGUGGCCAUGCUUGUAUUAUCUUUUCAUAUUUGUUAUUAAAUGGAACACAUACUAAUAAAGAUCUGGAAUUCCA
Oncorhynchus gorbuscha (pink salmon) is the source of this 1229-nucleotide long non-coding RNA. RefSeq lists it as uncharacterized. The record is from RefSeq and is a predicted model, not a curated record. Lineage: Eukaryota; Metazoa; Chordata; Actinopteri; Salmoniformes; Salmonidae. The transcript has 2 exons.